RNAcentral lists this ribosomal RNA (498 nucleotides) under uncultured bacterium. RNAcentral's name for it is "partial 16S ribosomal RNA". It matches the Rfam family "Bacterial small subunit ribosomal RNA", at positions 28 to 507 of the family's 1533-position model. The record is from RNAcentral.
GACGAACGCUGGCGGCGUGCCUAAUACAUGCAAGUCGAACGAGAGCAACCGGUGCUUGCACUGGUCAAUCUAGUGGCGAACGGGUGAGUAACACGUGGGUAACCUGCCCAUCAGAGGGGGAUAACAUCCGGAAACGGAUGCUAAAACCGCAUAGGUCUUCGAACCGCAUGGUUUGAAGAGGAAAAGAGGCGCUAGCUUCUGCUGUUGGAUGGACCCGCGGUGCAUUAGCUAGUUGGUGAGGUAACGGCUCACCAAGGCCGUGAUGCAUAGCCGACCUGAGAGGGUGAUCGGCCACAUUGGAACUGAGACACGGCCCAAACUCCUACGGGAGGCAGCAGUAGGGAAUCUUCCGCAAUGGACGAAAGUCUGACGGAGCAACGCCGCGUGAGUGAAGAAGGUUUUCGGAUCGUAAAACUCUGUUGUUAGGGAAGAACAAGUGCGAGAGUAACUGUUAGCGCCUUGACGGUAUCUAACCAGAAAGCCACGGCUAACUACGUG